UACGGAGGAUCCGAGCGUUAUCCGGAUUUAUUGGGUUUAAAGGGAGCGUAGGUGGAUUGUUAAGUCAGUUGUGAAAGUUUGCGGCUCAACCGCAAAAUUGCAGUUGAAACUGGCAGUCUUGAGUACAGUAGAGGUGGGCGGAAUUCGUGGUGUAGCGGUGAAAUGCUUAGAUAUCACGAAGAACUCCGAUUGCGAAGGCAGCUCACUGGACUGCAACUGACACUGAGGCUCGAAAGUGUGGGUAUCAAACAGG
RNAcentral lists this ribosomal RNA (253 nucleotides) under uncultured bacterium. Its description in RNAcentral is "partial 16S ribosomal RNA". It matches the Rfam family "Bacterial small subunit ribosomal RNA", at positions 524 to 776 of the family's 1533-position model. The record is from RNAcentral.